Long non-coding RNA from Athene cunicularia (burrowing owl), 2013 nucleotides. Lineage: Eukaryota; Metazoa; Chordata; Aves; Strigiformes; Strigidae. The record is from Ensembl.
ACGGCCCUGACCAGCCGGCCAUCAGCGUGGAGCCCUUCUCCCCUGAAGCUGGGAGCUUCUCAGCGGGCGAGCGGGAGGACGUGGUGCUGACCUGCCUGGCUCCCUCCAACCCCCCCAGCCGCUACGUCUGGCUGCACAAUGGGUCCCAGGUCCACACCGGCCCCACCUAUGUCCUGGCCGCCAUCGCCCGCGCCCAGGCGGGCACCUACACCUGCCUGGCCGAGAACCCCCACCUCCAGACCCGCACCCAGGCCACCAUCGUCCUCACUGUCUACUAUCCACCGGCCGGGAGCCCCAGCUGCUCUGCUGUGGCCACCGGUGAUCUGCGGGACGUGGCCCUGCAGUGCCGUUGGCCCGGGGGUUUCCCCCCAGUGCAGCUGCGCUGGGUGGGCCCCCAGGAGGAGGAGGAGGAAGAGGGGGUGAUGGGCGCCAGUUUUUCUGUGACUACCAGCAUCCAGCCAGGGGCAACCACCAGGAAUGGCAGCUCCUUCUCCUGCCUGGCCUCCCACCCCGCGCUGCCGCAAGGGGCCGUGUGUGGGACCACCCUGUGGGUCCCAGCCGGUGGCCCCUCCUGCGUGGCGGCGGCCACCAAAGGCGACGAGUACGUGAUGCUGCGGUGCCGGUGGGCGGGGGGGACGCCGCCAGUGACCCUGCGCUGGUGGGACAGUGGGGGCCGGCCCUUGGGUGACCCCGCACCUUUUGCUGCCAUCUUGGUGCUGAGUGCCAAUGGCACGUUGGGGGGCCGGGAUUUCAUCUGCGCUGCCAACCACCCGCUACAGGCCGCUGGCACCGAGUGCCGCCUGCGGCUGGGUAAGCCGAACCCGUCCCCCUCCCUCUCCUUCCCUGCCACCACGGGAUGGGGGGGUCACGCCAGCACCGUUCCCCCCCUCCCCGCUGCGCCCUGUGCGCAGAGGUCCCCAAGCUGGAGGCAGAGAGGAGCGAGGUGGCAGUGCUGGAGGGCGGCGAGGCGCGGCUGGCGUGUCGGCGGCACAGCCACGGGGCCAAUCUUGGUGCUACCGUGGUUUGGUACGACCCCGAGGACCGGGAGGUGACACCGGGGUUGGCCAAAUACCGGUUAGAACGGGGAGAAGAGUGGGUCAACCUCAGCGUCCGUGAUGCCGAGUGGCCGCGGGACAACGGGAUCUACCGCUGCACGGCGGCCAACGCCGUGGGCACCACCAGCCUCCCCGUCCACCUCCGCGUGGACCGGUACCCAGCCCCCCCUAACGUCACCAUCAGCAAGCUGCGGUACACACGGGCGCGCACCGAGGUGCGGCUGGAAUGGCGGACGCAGGGCAGUGGCAACCUCACCGGCUUCGUGGUGCAGCGGCGCCAAGCCAAGAAACCUUCCCGGCGGGUGCCCGGCCCCUGGGAAACAGCCGCUGGCGACAUCGAGCCCCACUCGCGCGACCGGCGCUUGGGGGGGCUGGACCCGGCCGUAAUCUACGCUUUCCGCGUGCUGGCUGUCAACCACCGGACGGCCGGGCACCCCUCCGAGGUGCAGACGCCAGCCGAGCCUCCCUUCGAGGCCUACCCAGCAGUGACGGCGGCAGCGGUGGUGGGGAUGCUGGUGGCCACCGCUGCAUCUCUCCUGGCCGUGCACUGCAUCGCCCGCCACCGCGACACCCUCCCACGGCUGCACGACCUGCUCUUCCGCAUGGCUGCUCCCGGUGCCCAGGAGCCCAUCGGCACACCAGAGGACGCCGAGACGACCGGGGAGGAGGGAGCAGCACCAGGAGAGGCGGCUGCCCCUGGCCCAGCAGCAGGUAACGGCACUCAUAGGGCUGAGGCACCCACCCCAGUGACCCAGCACCCACCCAGAGACUCUCCCCCAUCUCUCCCAGAACCACUCUCAGCACCGCCGGACACCACCGAGGAGCGACCGGUUACCGUCACAGUCACCACACCAGUGACACCGUGACCACGGCGGCUGCUCCUCCUUACUUCCCUUUCCUCUCCCCAUCGCACGUCCCUUUGCGUUAAUAAAGGCAGGAAGGGGGAUGGCUGAAGUCA